UAAGGAAUAUUGGACAAUGGUCGCAAGACUGAUCCAGCCAUGCCGCGUGAAGGAUGAAUGCCCUAUGGGUUGUAAACUUCUUUUAAACGGGAAAAAACCCCUCUACGUGUAGAGGGCUGAUGGUACCGUAAGAAUAAGGAUCGGCUAACUUCGUGCCAGCAGCCGCGGUAAUACGAAGGAUUCGAGCGUUAUCCGGAUUUAUUGGGUUUAAAGGGUGCGUAGGUGGACUAAUAAGUCAGUGGUGAAAGCCCGCAGCUUAACUGCGGAACUGCCAUUGAUACUGCUAGUCUUGAGUACAGUUGAGGUGGGCGGAAUGUGUCAUGUAGCGGUGAAAUGCUUAGAUAUGACACAGAACACCGAUUGCGAAGGCAGCUCACUAAGCUGUAACUGACACCGAGGCACGAAAGCGUGGGGAGCAAACAG
RNAcentral lists this ribosomal RNA (423 nucleotides) under uncultured bacterium. RNAcentral's name for it is "bacterial SSU rRNA". It matches the Rfam family "Bacterial small subunit ribosomal RNA", at positions 355 to 775 of the family's 1533-position model. The record is from RNAcentral.